CAUACAAACAUUUUUUUUAUAACGUAUACAAGACCAUUGCACAUAAGUUAAUUGGAAGUUAAGUAAUCUGGAGCAAAAUAAAGCAGUUUUGAAUUGGAUAAAAAAUGGGAAUAUAACUAUGGACUUUUACGAUCUCGAAGGGACGAAGUUAUACUACCAUUUCUGGGGCUGGUAAAUAGGAGCAGUGGCGGAUCUAGGAAAGCAGUUUUGAAUUGGAUAAAAAAUGGGAAUAUAACUAUGGACUUUUACGAUCUCGAAGGGACGAAGGUGCUGUUUCGUUUGUCGUUUGAGGGACUGCUUGAGACCAUUUGACGAGUUCAUGUGUGUUCUUUUAUUAGUAUAGAAUAAUGUUUGAUCUGUUUUUAAUAACCAUCGUAUUGUUAUA
Long non-coding RNA from Xenia sp. Carnegie-2017, 385 nucleotides. RefSeq lists it as uncharacterized. The transcript has 4 exons. The record is from RefSeq and is a predicted model, not a curated record. Lineage: Eukaryota; Metazoa; Cnidaria; Anthozoa; Malacalcyonacea; Xeniidae.